RNAcentral lists this ribosomal RNA (806 nucleotides) under uncultured bacterium. RNAcentral's name for it is "bacterial SSU rRNA". It matches the Rfam family "Bacterial small subunit ribosomal RNA", at positions 100 to 901 of the family's 1533-position model. The record is from RNAcentral.
GAACGGGUGAGUAAUGUAUCGGAACGUACCUUUCAGUGGGGGAUAACGUAGCGAAAGUUACGCUAAUACCGCAUAUUCUGUGAGCAGGAAAGCAGGGGACCUUCGGGCCUUGCGCUGAUUGAGUGGCUGAUAUCAGAUUAGCUAGUUGGUGAGGUAAAGGCUCACCAAGGCGACGAUCUGUAGCGGGUCUGAGAGGAUGAUCCGCCACACUGGAACUGAGACACGGUCCAGACUCCUACGGGAGGCAGCAGUGGGGAAUUUUGGACAAUGGGGGCAACCCUGAUCCAGCCAUGCCGCGUGAGUGAAGAAGGCCUUCGGGUUGUAAAGCUCUUUCGGCCGGGAAAAAAUCGCACGGGCUAAUACUCUGUGUGGAUGAUGGUACCGGAAUAAGAAGCACCGGCUAACUACGUGCCAGCAGCCGCGGUAAUACGUAGGGUGCGAGCGUUAAUCGGAAUUACUGGGCGUAAAGCGUGCGCAGGCGGUUUUUUAAGACAGGCGUGAAAUCCCCGGGCUCAACCUGGGAACUGCGCUUGUGACUGGAAGGCUAGAGUACGGCAGAGGGGGGUGGAAUUCCACGUGUAGCAGUGAAAUGCGUAGAGAUGUGGAGGAACACCAAUGGCGAAGGCAGCCCCCUGGGUCGAUACUGACGCUCAUGCACGAAAGCGUGGGGAGCAAACAGGAUUAGAUACCCUGGUAGUCCACGCCCUANACGAUGUCAACUAGGUGUUGGGUGGGUAAAACCAUUUAGUACCGGAGCUAACGCGUGAAGUUGACCGCCUGGGGAGUACGGCCGCAAGGUUAAAACU